RNAcentral lists this transfer RNA (73 nucleotides) under Phycisphaeraceae bacterium. RNAcentral describes it as "tRNA-Met". It matches the Rfam family "tRNA". Rfam says of the family: Transfer RNA (tRNA) molecules are approximately 80 nucleotides in length. Their secondary structure includes four short double-helical elements and three loops (D, anti-codon, and T loops). Lineage: Bacteria; Pseudomonadati; Planctomycetota; Phycisphaerae; Phycisphaerales; Phycisphaeraceae. The record is from RNAcentral.
GGGCCGUUAGCUCAGUGGUUAGAGCAGUCGACUCAUAAUCGAUCGGUCGCUGGUUCGAAUCCAGCACGGCCCA